UCCUGCCCACCUUCCUCGUUCGUUCCCUUUAUCGCGGCGUAAAAACGUCUCGACGCAUGCUGCUUACUUCUUACUUACUUAUAUAUGUAACCUGCACGUAUUGACGUAGGCUGUAUAAUAUUAAUAAUAUACGGAUGCGGUAAAAGUAGCUAGGCGAAAUGCGAGAGGCGAGAAACAACUUCGCUCCUGCCUUUUUCUCACUAUUUCAUUGCGCGAGGAUCGAAAUGACCAGAUAUUAGGUGCAGUUCGAUUCGAUUGCCUGGAGAUGCAGCGAGGAUAUUGGGUAAAGAAUAUAGAAUUAACGUGUGAUAUUUUGCGGCGAUGACGUCACCGCAAUACGAAACUGGUCACGUAAACUCGUUCUAAAACCGUAUUACUAGCUAAUUUUAUUUGCCAAAUGUCACAUGCACUCUGCACGUAAAAUCAUAUCACACGGAGAGUAUAAAAGACCAGAUUUUACUCAAAACUGCUGGAAAAAGAAGGACGCGUCAGAUUUUUUGGUAGAAUAUAAUAGUUAUAAUAAUAGGUUUUUGGUGAAAACCACUGUGUGCACAGAGUAACAUCUGCUACAUUUAUAGUAAAAAAUAUGGUUGACGGGGAAACUUUUCACCAAAAAACCUGAUGAAACGUCCCUCUUUUCCUGCAGUUUUCAAUAAAAUCUGCUUUUUUUCUUCUCUCCGUAUAGAACUUCCAAAAUAUGUAUAAUUGUCCGUCUUACAAGGUUCGACUGUAUAUUCGUUAAAAUCACUGUACAGUAUACUCCUGCUCAGGUCUCUGCGUUUACUGCACGCGGCACCCGGUAUACCACACGUGCAUAUCCCCCGAUAAAUUCGUAAUGUAUCAAACUUCCGGCGGGUUCAAAUCGAAUAAAGUUACUCCGGUUUAUACACACGGUGUGCAUAUACACCUAUAUUAACACAGUAAAUGAGAGAGACAAUCGGCUUGUCUAUAAUGUUACUACGAAGUAAUAUCUACCUAUAAUUUAUACACGUACACUUGGGGAGAAUGAAUCUGAGACGGCUAAUUUUUCACACUAGAUAGUUAAGUUGGCAACACAGAGAUACCUACAGCGCCACAGUCGGUCGAGCGCGAAACAAACUCAAUCUCAAUAAACACAACAUAACCCAUGACUGUCGAAUCUAACCUUAAAAUACGCGUCAAUCUAACAAGUCAUUAUUCCCGCGGUAUUCUAAGGUGAGAUUCAACGGCCAUGGGUUAUGUUACGUUUAUUGAGAUUGAGUUUGUUUCGCGCUCGGCCGACUGUGGCGCUGUAGGUUUCACUGUGUUGCCAACCUAACUGUCUGGUGGAAAAAAUAAGCCAUCUCAGAUUCAUUGUCCCCAAGUGUACCUGCAACAUAUGUAAAUAUAUUUAAUAGUUUUUCAUUUGUAUACAUUAUUUUUAAUUUCAAUAUGUGACCAGAUAACGUACACGAUAUUAUUGGAUCUACCCUCAUUGAUCGAUGGAUAAAACUUUUUUGCCAAUGGACAGAGAGGACUUUUAUACGUACAAAAAUUACACUAGCCAACAUGGGAACCAAAAAUAGUGAUAUGCAACAUGCGAAGGGUGGAGUUCACCGUUCACCAUGACCCACCUACCUAUAGUAAUACGAGGGGCUGGGGUGACGACCAUGGGAAGACCCUUCGGACAGGGGGAGGAAUUGGGGCGAGGCCGAGAGCGUGGCUUCCAAAGGUUGAGGCGGGCACGGAAGUGGGUUAGAAAAUGUACCCCCUGUGCCAUAAAUUCUAUUAUGAUGUGUAAGAAUCACAGAACGUCGUGAUUUGUAUUCUUAUAAUGUAUUGUCGCAGCACCAUUGGAUUGAAAGUGAACUGGAAUUGUUAUACAAAUAUACACGAUGUAUCGACGGUAUUUAAUUAGAUGAACAUAUGUGUAUAAUACACGUGUAUGUGUAUCUGACUGCAUCGUUUUAACAAUAUAACACAACCCAGGCAAAUGUUA
Molecule: long non-coding RNA, 1957 nt
Filed under: Neodiprion lecontei (redheaded pine sawfly)
Lineage: Eukaryota; Metazoa; Arthropoda; Insecta; Hymenoptera; Diprionidae
Description: uncharacterized LOC124292761
Source: RNAcentral